UGAGAUCAUGCCCCUCGGGGUAGACCUCCCACCCUUUGUUUACAAUACCUUUGUUGCUUUGGCGGCCCCGUCGCAAGACAACCGGCUCCGGCUGGUCAGCGGCUGCCAGAGGACCCAAAACUCAUAUUGUCAUUGUCGUCUGAGUACUAUAUAAUAGUUAAAACUUUCAACAACGGAUCUCUUGGUUCUGGCAUCGAUGAAGAACGCAGCGAAAUGCGAUAAGUAAUGUGAAUUGCAGAAUUCAGUGAAUCAUCGAAUCUUUGAACGCACAUUGCGCCCCCUGGUAUUCCGGGGGGCAUGCCUGUUCGAGCGUCAUUACAACCCUCAAGCUCUGCUUGGUAUUGGGUGUCACCCCCGGGUGCGCCUUAAAAUCAGUGGCGGUGCCGUCUGGCUUCAAGCGUAGUAAUACUUCUCGCUUUGGAGUUCCGGGCGAGCGUCUCGCCAAAACCCCCAUAUUUUUUCAGGUUGACCUCGGAUCAGGUAGGGAUACCCGCUGAACUUAAGCAUAUCAAUAAGCGGAGGAAAAGAAACCAACAGGGAUUGCCUCAGUAACGGCGAGUGAAGCGGCAACAGCUCAAAUUUGAAAUCUGGCCCUUUCAGGGUCCGAGUUGUAAUUUGUAGAGGAUGUUUCGGGUGUGGCUCCGGUCUAAGUUCCUUGGAACAGGACGUCAUAGAGGGUGAGAAUCCCGUAUGUGACUGGUAGCCUAUGCUCAUGUGAAACUCCUUCGACGAGUCGAGUUGUUUGGGAAUGCAGCUCAAAAUGGGUGGUAAAUUUCAUCUAAAGCUAAAUAUUGGCCAGAGACCGAUAGCGCACAAGUAGAGUGAUCGAAAGAUGAAAAGCACUUUGGAAAGAGAGUUAAACAGUACGUGAAAUUGUUGAAAGGGAAGCGCUUGCAACCAGACUUGCAUGUGGCUGAUCAACCGGUGUUCUCACCGGUGCACUCAGUCACGUUCAGGCCAGCAUCGGUUUCGACGGUUGGAUAAAGGCCUUGGGAAUGUAGCUCCUCUCGGGGAGUGUUAUAGCCCAGGGUGCAAUGCAGCCUGU
RNAcentral lists this ribosomal RNA (1045 nucleotides) under Leotiomycetes sp. genotype 132. RNAcentral's name for it is "eukaryotic LSU rRNA". The stretch from base 467 to 1045 matches the Rfam family "Eukaryotic large subunit ribosomal RNA", at positions 1 to 583 of the family's 3401-position model. Lineage: Eukaryota; Fungi; Ascomycota; Leotiomycetes. The record is from RNAcentral.